RNAcentral lists this long non-coding RNA (200 nucleotides) under Elaeis guineensis (African oil palm). Its description in RNAcentral is "long non-coding RNA (EGUI_LNC012336)". Lineage: Eukaryota; Viridiplantae; Streptophyta; Magnoliopsida; Arecales; Arecaceae. The record is from RNAcentral.
UGAUCUUUUUUCUCAAUAAAAAUUUUUUAGACACUUAUGAUGAAAUGUUGGCCCGAGUUCGAAAAUAUAAUCAGGCUGAAAAGAAAGAAAAAAUUUAGCGACAAGCGAAGGAAGAAGAAAAUGGAAAGAAGUGACCUCAUGAGGAAGAUCAUGAGCUCGAAAAAAGGAGAACUCCAACUGACCUCAAAAGAACCCGGCCU